Molecule: long non-coding RNA, 2096 nt
Filed under: Homo sapiens (human)
Lineage: Eukaryota; Metazoa; Chordata; Mammalia; Primates; Hominidae
Description: family with sequence similarity 226 member B (FAM226B)
Source: RNAcentral
GGGCGGCGGUCUCCGACUCAAGACCCUGGGGCUCCGGGUCUUCUUAGCAGCCGCCGCAGCAGCCGCGGCGACGUCACUGUCCUCUCGGCCUGGCACACAGCGCUCCGGCCGCCGAAUGCCCGUGGACGCGCAUCUCUUCCCAGAGUUCCUGCUUCCUGGGCCAGCCAAAGCCGCAGGUGAGAACGUCCGCGGUAGAGGUGACACCCAGGGCCUGCGGGUCUCAGAGGCCCGGUGGCCUGCUCCUCUCCUCCUUGCCCAAGAAACCCCCACGGGGGCGCCUGCAGCGGGGACACCAAGUGCUCCCCGGAGCCCUGGGAGCACUUCUUCUGAGGCAUGGAGCCCCUGCUCAGGUGCUUCUGAAAGUUCCUUUGUGGACCCCAGAAACCCCUAGGCAACUGUCUGCCCCGCCCCGCGCCCCCGCCGCCCCCCGCCCCCGCAGUACCCCUCCGGCCCCCGACAUCCCUGAUGCGCAUGCCCAGGGGCCCUGUGAGCUAGAAAGUAGCUGAGCUGGUGCAGUACCUGCUGGUUAAGAACCGGAAGACGGUGGCGAUCAAAAGGGCAGACAUGCUGAAGUAUGUCAUCAAAAGGUACAGGAGCUUCCUCCCUGAGAUUUUCAAGAAAGCCUCUGACCUCCCCGAGUUAGUCUUUGGGUUCUAUCUGAAGGAACUUGAUCCAGCAGAGCACUCCUAUGUCUUGAUCAGAAAAAUCGAUCCUGCCCUGGUUUGGGGCCUGACAGGCGACCAGGGCACACCAAAGACCCGGCUCCUGAUGAUUACUCUGGACUCGAUCUUCAUGCAGGCCAGCUGUGUCCCCGAGGAGGUGGUCUGGGAGGUGUUGAGGGUGUUGGAGGCACAUUUCGUCUAAAAAGCAUUUCGUCUUUGGGGAGUCCAUGAAGCUCAUCACCAAAGCUAGUGUGCAGCAGGAGUAUCUGGUGCACAAAUAGGUGUCCCACAGCAAUCCCACGCUCUAGGUAUUCUUGUGGGGGCUCUCAAAGGAAACAAGACAGAUGGAAGUCCCGGAGUUUGUGGCCAAAGUGAAUGACACCCACCCCAGUUCCUUUCCGUGGCAGUAAAUGAGGCAUUGAGAGAAGAGGAGGAGAUACCCCGUGCCCGAGAUGGCAGCUGCCGUUGGUGACGUGACAAGUGCCAGUGUUAGUGCCAGUUCCAGUUCCAGGGCCUAUGCCAUGGCUGAAGCAAGCAUCAGCACCAGCACCAAUGCAAGUGCCAGUUGCCAGUGCCAGGGCUAGAGCCAUGGCUGGAGCAAGUAUCAGUACCUGGGACAGUGCCAGUGUGGUUGCAAUCUCAGGCUAGUGUCAGGGACUCCUCCUGCCAGCAGUGAAGGCUGGGGCUGAGUCUUCACUUUGUUUUGCUGUGGGUAGUCAAAAGGGCCCCACAGCAGUGGGUGCUGGGGUCCUGACUUUUCAAGAGUCGAGGGGUAGAGUGGGGUUAGGGAGAACCUGCCGCCCAUGGUAUCUGUGUUCCAGUUCUAUUUGUCUUUCUCAGUGAUUUAGCUUUCAAUUUGCAUACUGCAAAGUUUUGUUUGCCUUAAUUAACUUUCUUUUAUAAUGAUGAUCAUUUUACAGGAAAUAAACUGGUUAAAACUACAUGAUGACAGAAUUAUAUCAGAGUUGAAACAAACGCCAUACCUAAGCAUUUUUUUCAAAAUCCUUUGUUCCAUAGACACUUGAUUGAGUACUUAAGUUGAACAUCUAGGUCUAUGAAUGACGUUGGUCAAAUGUUUUAUUGUUCUCUGUUUCGGUUUUAGCAGGAGAGAUUUGCUGUUUCAUAAAAGAAAUUGGGAGAGUAUAUCAUUUUAUGCCUGUAACUUAUUAUAGCAUUGGAAUAAGCUGUUCUUUGGAGGUUUGAGAGACUUUACCAGUACAAUCAUUCCCCCCCUCCCCCAAAUAUAAAAAGAUAAAAUAAAAAGCCGGUCAGUGUCUGUUGCACAAAAUUACAACCGCUCUCUGCUUGUAUUUGCCUAGUUCUCCAGAAUGUAGGGAAAAAUAAAAAUUCAAUGAAUUAGAAAAAAAAAAAAAAAAAAAAAAAAAAAAAAAAAAAAAAAAAAAAAAAAAAAAAAAAAAAAAAAAAAAAAAAAAA